RNAcentral lists this long non-coding RNA (4950 nucleotides) under Canis lupus familiaris (dog). RNAcentral describes it as "lncRNA (ENSCAFG00000053011.1)". The record is from RNAcentral. Lineage: Eukaryota; Metazoa; Chordata; Mammalia; Carnivora; Canidae.
AAAAUGUUUACACCCUUCUUACAAUACAACAAAUUUUGUAGUGAUUUUGCAUGUUAUACUCUAUAAAAGUUCAUCAUCGAAUAUCCGAGCUAAAACGAUAUAGUUUUAAAAGUAUGCCAAAUCUACCACUGUCUGCAAACUACCUACUACCAGCAAUAAGUACAAAAAGAAAAGUCUUAUUAACAAAAAUCAAAAGAUCUAGUUUUCGUUUGUCAGCAUCUACAAACAAUACAGACAUCAUAUGGUUUACAUGUAGACUUAGGUCCAGCCCAAGGUAAAGACUGCAAAAAUAAAGUCUUUGACAUCCACACGAGCUUGGCCAUCCCCAUUACAAUAUUCCAUCACAGGUGAUUAAGCGAUGCGUCAUGCAGUGAAGCCACGGCUAUAAAUUUGGGCUGUUUAUAGUGCUACAAAGCGGCCUAAACUGUAAGCAACUUAAUGGUAUUUUUUUUUUUUUUCCAGAAUAGAUGCUAUCAUAAAAAGGCACAAAUAUCUUACUCCUUGCAUCGGGUCUUGUUAAAAGGCAUGACAUUCUUAGGAGAAAUAAGGAUUGCUGGUACGACAGCUUAGCUUUUAUUUAUUUAUUUGUAAAUGUCUAGGCUCAUCUCCACAGCUGCUUCUCUUCCAAGACUUUAAACUUGUGUUUUUUACAUACUUCAACAGGUGCUCUGUUGCACAUCGAGCAACGUCUUGACGCUUAAACUAUCUCAUCACCGACUCUGAAACCCCUUCUGUCAGUCAUGUUGCCACCGACAGCCAGGGCUGCCUGUUUCCUCGCUGGGAAGAGGGGAGCUCCUCACCUAAAAUUAGCUUUUGCAUCUCCCGACAGCGCUCACGCUCACGGGUGGUGACUCCACCGCUGCCGCCUUGGAAGGCGGGGUGGAAAGGGACGUCACACGCACUGAGGGGGCUGGUGCUGUGCGUCUUUAAGGGAGAGUCCAUGGCAAAAUGAGAAGAAGAGAAAUAAGGCAAGGAGGCUGUUUCGAUCACAGAGAAGGCAAGACAUCAAUUCUUAAGAAGGUCAGAGGCAUGAUUGACAAUUACGUGAAUGACUCAUAAGGUGAAAUGAUGCAAAGACUGAGCAGGAUGAGAGUAAAAAAAGAAAAAUCUUUUCCAGGCCAAUACAGCUCUGUCUACACGAGACAACAAAUGGUUUAAAAAUAGAGCCACCAAUCAGUUGCUCUGACUAGCCAGCUGCCGAUAACUCCCUCCGCCUGCACCGAAUCGACCCGUCACUCUGACAUCACGUGCAUGGCCCAUAUUAAGAAAAAGUUCCAUAAACUAUGUAAUAACCUCCUAUGCAAAGUCAGCAGAGGUACACAAACUUCAGCCUUGCUUUCAACAUUUUUCAGGGGGUAACACUGACUAUUUAAGCACAAAUUUGAUGGAAAAAUGGAUAAGGGACAAAUGACAGGAGAACGAGGCCCCGAGGUGAAGUCACCGGCUGCCACGGGCCGGACAAUGUUCCCGACUGGGCUCUGGACUCGCCCUGGGGAAGGGGGUGUGCUCCGCUUCUCCACAACCUGACUGAAGAGGUCAUGGGAGUUUCCUGGGCAAUUUCAGUUCUGAGCAAAGACUAUCGGCCCUCUGUGCAAUCUGCUAUUUUAAAGAUGAUUUUCUUCACAGUCCUUUAUUAGACAAUCUGCUUCCAGAAACGAUGAACUGUUCCUGAAUCAAGAAGUGGCAUCAAAACCAGCAUGUUUUGUUUCUGUUGAGUGAUUAAGGAGAACAUUAAGAUCUACAGUUUAAAAAUACCAAUUAAAGAAGGUUUUUUCAAACGACCAUUACUAUCUUAGGGUUUCCCAUUAAUUAGCUGAAUUCUGGGCACUUGAAUUCCUGUUCAUGGAAAGCUACCCAGAAUUUGGUUUGCUUCAUUUAUGAAGCGUUUUGAUGAGAUUCUGGGCACCAUACAGAUUUGAAAACGAGCUAGUAAUAAACUAAAUACUUUUUUUCUUAAAUUUGUUACGACUCCAUGGUUUUAAUUCAGUAUCUGCUGAUGACACAUCCUCAUCUUACUAUUUAAAAUGUUCAACGUAAUAAAAGAAGAUGGAAGGUUUAAAAUUUUUCUUUUUAUUAAACUUCUGAAUCCUUUUGUUGUGAAGCCAAAAAUAUCCUAGCAUCUAUAAUUGAUUAUACUCUAAAAGGAAAGAACACAGAUAUUAGUUAUUUCUGAUGGUGCAGACCAUCAAAUUAAAGUUGAUCUAUGCUACUGGAAAGUCCUUCUAGAUUUGGAAAGUAAAUCAUUUUCCUAUAUACUCAGAGCAUCCUGAAGGACAAACCGAGAAAUAUGGGGAUUCUUGGUUUUAUUUAUUCACUUUCUUCAUUAUGUCUAAUGAAACUUCAUCACGCCAGGUCUCCCUUAUCAUUCUCUUAGAUUGAAAAAGUGGAGGCUCCUGAAAAAUGUAAUACCCUUCUAAUAUUUUUUAGACUUUCAUUUGCACAUAAAACAGGACAAAUGCCCCAGAAUUCCAUUAAUGUUUCUUGCAAAUCAGAUAAUCAAAUUGCCCGGAUUUCUAUUACUGGAAGUCAAGACAAGUAACUCUGCUGUCAAGAGAAAUUGGCAGAGGUCGUUUCUUCCACACCUAGACUAGAUUUUCACCCGACCUCCCUUUUCUAAAAUUAUGCAGUAUAAUGUGUAUCUCCUGGACAGAUCUGUUCCUUGGACUGGAUUUUUUUUUAUUUUUUAAUUUUUUAUGAUUGUGCUGCAGGAGUUAAGAUAAGUCUCCUAAGCAUCAUCUUGAAUCGUUGAACUUCUCAUGCAUCAAGCUAAUUGAAGGCAGGCAUAUAUAGUCAUAGCUUGAUUCUUAAAAGUACAUUCCACUUCUUCUUUAAAAAUACAUUAACCGUUAAGAGGUAGACUCUCCCUUGAAGUCAAACAGUAAACAGAAGUUAUGCUGCUAGUCCCUUUAAAACAAAUUUAAAUGAGGAAGAGUUUUCUACAAGUUUACACCAUCUAGCUUAUCGUGGUCAUUAACUUUCAUCACAGAGUCAGGAAGAACAUUUACAGAUUACAGAGUUGAGAGAAGAGAGCCAGCCUGAGCGUGUGGGCUGUCAUCCCCCCUACAACAUUUUAAAGCAGGUACCUCGUAGAUACCAGAGUUAAGGGACUCUCGGUAACUUUUCCUCAGAAGGAGAGGAUUCUCUCACUACUUAGAGAGACAGGCUCUUGCAAAGACAUCUGAAUGUGUAGGGGCUCAUGUGUCAUAUAUAACAUACUGUGAACCUAUAUCUUAUACAACCAUGAGGCCAUGAAUCAUGUUCUCAGCGUGUUCUGAACAAAAUGAGUGGAAAAGAAGGCUUGUAAGAAUUUAUAUAACCUCUUUUUUGCAACUCACCCACAGACUAUAAAAGAUGCAUCUAACAGUGAACAAAUGCCUUUUCAAGUCCUGAGGCUGACAUGCCAAUUAGUGCAGUGUAAUCUGAAUCAAACCUGUCCAUUUUAACACAUUGCCGAGAAGGUACCGAGAUUCUGGUUUGACAUCUCCAGGAAAGCCAUGGAGCAGUUAUCUAAAGGACAUUUUCAUUACUAUUAUCUCCCAGAGCUUAAUUUAGAAGGUCUCCUAGACCUGUUUUCCUUCUUAAGGGGGGAGAGUGUGUGAGAGAGAGAGACAGAGAGAGAGAGAGAAAACAAGACUUAAAGAGAAGUUCUAAAAUUAUGUGUGGCCUGCCUUCCUUUUAUAUACUUAAAAAAUAACGAAAAAUGAUCGCCUUGAGAAGGGCAACAGCCCACUCCAUGGAGGAGGUCAAGCCUCUAAUACAAAAGGCUCCGUCCUUUGGAUACAGGAGGCAUCCGCUUCAAACAAAAUCAUAAACAGGCAACAAGGAAGUGUGUUAUUUUAAAGGGACUCACUCUCUCAGCUGCUAUGUAUAGCACUUAUCCUGCCUGUGGCAGAAAAGCAGGUGAUGGAGGUUUCAUUUGGAACCAGAAGGGCUUGCAAUAGGUACUUCUCCCUAAUCACUUCUUUAAGAGAGUUUAAAAUGAAGGACACUUAAUCAUACUCUUACUUUAUGUUCUUUUAAUCACCAAAUGAUGGUUAAUUAGUUAUCAUAGAAUCGGAAAAACACUUGUGUGAAAGGAGAGUUCUGGAGGCUGAUGGUUUGUAGGACUGGGCACCUGCAAAGAGCUCAUUUCAAUUUCUCUGAGAGGAAUCAAUAUACACUUGCAGCUAAUUAAUGAUUUUUCUCUUUUCAAUCCCCAAAGUUUUUUAAGAUGGUCCUUUGUCAGAAGGGAACUAAAAGGAUUUUUUAUAGAUGGGCUGUGUCUCAAUUCCUUUGAAAUCUAGCUUUUUCCCCUAAGAAAUGACUGAGAAUAUAUGACAUGUGGAUUAGAUCACUGCCUGGCCAGGUUGCUAAUCCUAAACACGUUCAAAGUAAAACACUGUUUCUGCCUUCAACAUCAACCUUUGCAGCACACAAGUGAACAAAAAAAAUGGAAACAUUUCCCCCUAUUUUCCUGGGGUACGGAUCACAUGGAUCUGAGAUGACAAUGUGCUGCUGCUAGUGGUAAGGAGACGCUACAUGAGCAGCAGGGUCUCGCUGAUUCCUGAGACAGUCUGAGGAAAACGAGGGCCCAAGAGGCCCCGGUACAUGGGAAGACAGCACCGUUGCACGAGCCACCUGUCAUUCAUUCUGGGCCUAAAACACGUGGCCAGAACCAAACAGAAGCCCUCGCUACAAACAGGGAGGAGCGUGAGAAGUCGUGAAUAGAGAACAGCUACGGAGGGCCUGAAGCGAUGGCCUGUUUUGGGCUAAACUCAGUGACCGUGGGGACAGGCCGAGAGGCAGGCAGAUGCCUCACCAGUACGAGGAGGCACGGAAGCAUGCGGCCUUCCCCGGGCACCCAGACACCAGGGAAUCAUUGACAGUGGCGACAGGUUUGGUGGGAAAACUGUGAAGGUCACAGAUGUGCGUCAUCUUUUGGUGAAAUAAGACAGAAAGGGCCGCCCAUGC